RNAcentral lists this ribosomal RNA (602 nucleotides) under Staphylococcus aureus. RNAcentral describes it as "bacterial SSU rRNA". It matches the Rfam family "Bacterial small subunit ribosomal RNA", at positions 220 to 814 of the family's 1533-position model. Lineage: Bacteria; Bacillati; Bacillota; Bacilli; Caryophanales; Staphylococcaceae. The record is from RNAcentral.
UAUAGAUGGAUCCGCGCUGCAUUAGCUAGUUGGUAAGGUAACGGCUUACCAAGGCAACGAUGCAUAGCCGACCUGAGAGGGUGAUCGGCCACACUGGAACUGAGACACGGUCCAGACUCCUACGGGAGGCAGCAGUAGGGAAUCUUCCGCAAUGGGCGAAAGCCUGACGGAGCAACGCCGCGUGAGUGAUGAAGGUCUUCGGAUCGUAAAACUCUGUUAUUAGGGAAGAACAUAUGUGUAAGUAACUGUGCACAUCUUGACGGUACCUAAUCAGAAAGCCACGGCUAACUACGUGCCAGCAGCCGCGGUAAUACGUAGGUGGCAAGCGUUAUCCGGAAUUAUUGGGCGUAAAGCGCGCGUAGGCGGUUUUUUAAGUCUGAUGUGAAAGCCCACGGCUCAACCGUGGAGGGUCAUUGGAAACUGGAAAACUUGAGUGCAGAAGAGGAAAGUGGAAUUCCAUGUGUAGCGGUGAAAUGCGCAGAGAUAUGGAGGAACACCAGUGGCGAAGGCGACUUUCUGGUCUGUAACUGACGCUGAUGUGCGAAAGCGUGGGGAUCAAACAGGAUUAGAUACCCUGGUAGUCCACGCCGUAAACGAUGAGU